UAAAAAUCAUACAUGCACCGUCGUAUAAUAUUGGGGAUAUGGCCCAAGAGUUUCUACCGAACUACCGUAAAUGGUUCGACUACGAGGUGAAUUAUCGAUGAU
RNAcentral lists this non-coding RNA (102 nucleotides) under Pontibacillus yanchengensis. RNAcentral describes it as "Guanine sequence". It matches the Rfam family "Purine riboswitch aptamer". Rfam says of the family: Riboswitches are metabolite binding domains within certain messenger RNAs that serve as precision sensors for their corresponding targets. Allosteric rearrangement of mRNA structure is mediated by ligand binding, and this results in modulation of gene expression. Lineage: Bacteria; Bacillati; Bacillota; Bacilli; Caryophanales; Bacillaceae. RNAcentral also lists the same sequence under 1 other name. The record is from RNAcentral.